GGCAAAUGUUAAAAUGGCAUAUAUUAAAAAUGGAAUGAUACAGAGCAGAUUAGCCUGGCCCCUGAAAAUGGGUAACACACAUUCAUGAAGCUUUCCAUAGUCUU
Meriones unguiculatus (Mongolian gerbil) is the source of this 104-nucleotide small nuclear RNA. Lineage: Eukaryota; Metazoa; Chordata; Mammalia; Rodentia; Muridae. The record is from Ensembl.